Long non-coding RNA from Oncorhynchus mykiss (rainbow trout), 2094 nucleotides. Lineage: Eukaryota; Metazoa; Chordata; Actinopteri; Salmoniformes; Salmonidae. The record is from Ensembl.
GCAACAGGGUUCCGUGGUAAUGGCCUGGUCACGCCACCUUGACAUGUGGCAGCAACUGAGGGAUCAGGGGUCACAAAUGCAGUCCUACUGGUGAGGAAGGGCCUCCAGCACUGACUUACAGGAGUGGAGGGCUCAUAGGUUCCCAUAUAGAGCAAUACUGCUGCAUCUCCUCUCCUGCUCCAGCAGAUGUGGAUCCCCAUGGUGACAGGAGAAGAACACCAGAGACACUGCAGAUGGAUGAGUUACACAUCACAAAGAGGAGGAGACAGAAUGACAGACUGCAGGCGCCAUCUGGGAGCGAGACGUGCAUUACAGGAGCUAUCCAUAUGGUCGGGGCAUCAUGACUUUGCUCAUCUCAUCUCCCGUCAACAUCUCUUCUGCUCAAGUCCUCUCUCAAAUGAUCCACAUACACGUUACUAACAGAAAGACAAAAACAUGCUUGUGUUUAUGUAUUUUUGCAGAGAUUAUACAAAUGUACACGUAACAGUCGGUAUUAGAUUAACAUUUUAAACUCAUGUCUUCAAUACUCUUCAAAUGUACAUUUCCUCAUGAAUCGGGUGCUAUAGAUUGUAUGAAGAGUCUUAAUCUGAUGAUAGUACAUUUAUUAUAAUACAGAAAAUGAUUUGCCACCUCCAUAUCAUCCCCACCCCCAGUCGUUGUUCAGUGUCGGGAGCUGGGGGCUUUUUUAAACCCAUCUGCUGUCUCGCACCUUCUAAUCUGCCCCCCCCCCCCCCCCCCCCCCCCGGAACCCAAUGGCAUCGUACUCCUCAUCCUGUCCCCAUCCUACCCACCCAUCACCCAGUGCAUAAUAUAUUCCCCCUGUAACCAAAUACUACAGCUCACAUUGUAUUAAGCCACAUUGCAUAUGCUUAUAACACACACAGUGAUGUUUACAGACCUGUCAUCUGGAAUGUACUGUAGGCUAGAUGUAAGAUAAGUGUAUCUAUGUAUAUUUAGAAAUAAACAGUGUCAAUAUUAAAUCUCUGUGUGUUUACUAAUUAUGACAAAUUCUUAUUCUACUCAAAAUCAACACUUAUUCGUCGCAAUUACUUUUUUUAUUGUCGUCUGUUUUUUUGAUCAGCUUUCUUUAUGUUUACAAAUGGAAAACAUUCUCUGUCCAGUGAUACUUUUCAAUGUGUAGCUUUGAGAGAGAGAGAGAGCGAGAGAGAGGAUGUCCUAUGUUGAAACUCAACCUUGACUGUGUACAUCAGACCUCCAAACAACUGAUGCCCUCUUCCUAUCGUGUGUGUGUGUGUGUCCACGGACCAGCCGGGAGAGGGUCCUAAUCCCUGUGAUUCCACAGAGUGAGAGGCAGAGGGUAUGAGCUGUUGAACAAGAUAAAGAGGAGAGGGGGGAUGGAGGAGAAGAGAGGAGAAGAUGAGAGAAGGAGAGCAAAGAUUAGGGGAGGAAGGUGUGAUAAGGAGAUUCUGAGUAGAUGCAGAAGCAUGGCGAAAUAAGAAAGUAGAAAGGGGACACAAGGACAGCAAGUGAAUAAGAAAAUCAGAUUGCUUGUGGGAGAUAGAGAGAGGGGAAGAGGACAAAGCUGAAGGCUGUGUGAGAUAGGCUGGCUAUCCCCCCCAUCUCCAUCUCUCCUAAUCUCACUCUGCCUCCUCCAUAUCUCUCUCCAUCUCUCCAUCUUGCCAAAUAGUCACCGCCAGUGUGGUUGUGGUUUAAUUGGCUUUCAGUAUUCAUAAUUAAAACAAUGCCUUGACGUGCAGCUCCUACAUUGUCUUCCAUUAAUUUCAGAUUGCUCUUGUCAUUUGCACAUUACCCCAUGCAAAAGCAAAUUAAAGUGUUUCGUUUUCUCCCUUCACAUUCAGCGUCAUCUUCCCCAGCUCUCUCUGAUUAGACUGCUAUUUACCAGAUCGCUAUCCCUCAAUUCUACAGCACAUAAGCAGGCGCAGAGUAGGACCCAGGGGAUGCUGGGAAUAAGGAAAACAAAGGACUCUGGGAUGUCCAGGGCAGUUAAUGACACUUUCAUGAGGAAAUCAAAAUAGCUCUUUAAAUCUGGAUGCUAUUUACCCUGGCAGCAGAUCCUGUUGACUGGUUGCUGAUGGAACAGAACAGAGCAGUCCCGGACCGUAUGGACAGACU